RNAcentral lists this ribosomal RNA (493 nucleotides) under uncultured bacterium. RNAcentral's name for it is "partial 16S ribosomal RNA". It matches the Rfam family "Bacterial small subunit ribosomal RNA", at positions 30 to 523 of the family's 1533-position model. The record is from RNAcentral.
AUUGAACGCUGGCGGCAUGCCUUACACAUGCAAGUCGAACGGUAACAGGUUAAGCUGACGAGUGGCGAACGGGUGAGUAAUAUAUCGGAACGUGCCCAGUCGUGGGGGAUAACGUAGCGAAAGCUACGCUAAUACUGCAUACGAUCUACGGAUGAAAGCGGGGGAUCGCAAGACCUCGCGCGAUUGGAGAGGCCGAUAUCAGAUUAGGUUGUCGGUGAGGUAAAAGCUCACCAAGCCUGCGAUCUGUAGCUGGUCUGAGAGGACGACCAGCCACACUGGAACUGAGACACGGUCCAGACUCCUACGGGAGGCAGCAGUGGGGAAUUUUGGACAAUGGACGCAAGUCUGAUCCAGCAAUGCCGCGUGCAGGACGAAGGCCUUCGGGUUGUAAACUGCUUUUGUACGGAACGAAACGGUGAGCUCUAAUACAGUUUGCUAAUGACGGUACCGUAAGAAUAAGCACCGGCUAACUACGUGCCAGCCGCCGCGGUAA